Molecule: ribosomal RNA, 450 nt
Filed under: uncultured bacterium
Lineage: Bacteria
Description: bacterial SSU rRNA
Rfam family: Bacterial small subunit ribosomal RNA
Source: RNAcentral
GCCAGACUCCUACGGGAGGCAGCAGUGGGGAAUAUUGGGCAAUGGGCGCAAGCCUGACCCAGCAACGCCGCGUGAAGGAAGAAGGCUCUCGGGUUGUAAACUUCUUUUAUCAGGGACGAAGCAAGUGACGGUACCUGAUGAAUAAGCCACGGCUAACUACGUGCCAGCAGCCGCGGUAAUACGUAGGUGGCAAGCGUUGUCCGGAUUUACUGGGUGUAAAGGGCGUGUAGCCGGGAAGGCAAGUCAGAUGUGAAAUCUGGAGGCUCAACCUCCAAAUUGCAUUUGAAACUGUUUUUCUUGAGUACUGGAGAGGCAGACGGAAUUCCUUGUGUAGCGGUGAAAUGCGUAGAUAUACGGAGGAACACCAGUGGCGAAGGCGGAUUGCUGGACAGUAACUGACGCUGAGGCGCGAAAGCGUGGGGAGCAAACAGGAUUAGAUACCCCAGUAUG